Molecule: ribosomal RNA, 468 nt
Filed under: uncultured bacterium
Lineage: Bacteria
Description: partial 16S ribosomal RNA
Rfam family: Bacterial small subunit ribosomal RNA
Source: RNAcentral
GACCAACGCUGGCGGCGUGCUUAACACAUGCAAGUCGAACGGAAAGGCCCUGCUUUUGUGGGGUGCUCGAGUGGCGAACGGGUGAGUAACACGUGAGUAACCUGCCCUUGAGUUUGGGAUAACUUCAGGAAACUGGGGCUAAUACCGGAUAGGAGCUCCUGCUGCAUGGUGGGGGUUGGAAAGUUUCGGCGGUUGGGGAUGGACUCGCGGCUUAUCAGCUUGUUGGUGGGGUAGUGGCUUACCAAGGCUUUGACGGGUAGCCGGCCUGAGAGGGUGACCGGCCACAUUGGGACUGAGAUACGGCCCAGACUCCUACGGGAGGCAGCAGUGGGGAAUAUUGCACAAUGGGCGGAAGCCUGAUGCAGCAACGCCGCGUGCGGGAUGACGGCCUUCGGGUUGUAAACCGCUUUCGCCUGUGACGAAGCGUGAGUGACGGUAAUGGGUAAAGAAGCACCGGCUAACUACGUG